GGGGAUAUAGCUCAGUGGUAAGAGUACUUGUCUAACAUACACAAGGCCCUGAGUUCAAUCCCCAGCACCACCA
This 73-nucleotide transfer RNA is filed under the name Cavia porcellus (domestic guinea pig). It matches the Rfam family "tRNA". Rfam says of the family: Transfer RNA (tRNA) molecules are approximately 80 nucleotides in length. Their secondary structure includes four short double-helical elements and three loops (D, anti-codon, and T loops). Lineage: Eukaryota; Metazoa; Chordata; Mammalia; Rodentia; Caviidae. The record is from Rfam by way of RNAcentral.